ACCCCAGUUGCCGAGAAAAACCUCGUUCAGCAUAACUAUUAUCAACCGUACCGCAAACCGACACAGGUAUCCGGGAAGAGAAUUCUAAGGUGCUCGAGUGAAUCAUGGCUAAGGAACUCGGCAAAAUGGCCCUGUAACUUCGGGAGAAGGGGCGCUGGUAGCAAUAUCAGCCGCAGUGAAAAGGCCCAGGCGACUGUUUAACAAAAACACAUGGCUUUGCAAAAUCG
This 227-nucleotide ribosomal RNA is filed under the name Pycnococcus provasolii. RNAcentral describes it as "partial Bacterial large subunit ribosomal RNA". It matches the Rfam family "Bacterial large subunit ribosomal RNA", at positions 1598 to 1833 of the family's 2925-position model. Lineage: Eukaryota; Viridiplantae; Chlorophyta; Pseudoscourfieldiophyceae; Pseudoscourfieldiales; Pycnococcaceae. The record is from RNAcentral.